GCAGGUGAACAAGUGUUAUAUCCGCCUAUAACAUGCACACAGUCCAGUUGGUUGAUGUAUCUCUUGAGGAAUGUGGAUUAAAACCCUUUAAAAGAUGGGUUCUCUAAUAAAGCAAGGUUUGUUGAUGUUUACUCCAGACCAUCAGGCUGACUAUGAAACAUCCUGUUUGUGAAGACACUGUUGCUGAAUCUCAUCAUAACCAUGGAGAAUUGCCUGCCACUAUACUGACCAACAGUUUCAACAUUGGACACGUUUCCAUCCUUUUUGCCCUCUCCUGAACGUGCUGUUUGGAAGUUGUUAUUGCUUUUUUUUGCAUUUUGAACGUUUAACCCCAAUAAGUGGGAUGUUAUUUCAAGUAGUUUAAUUUUACAAUUUUUUUAUAUUGGUGCAUGCAAAGACUCUGUAUGAAAAAAUCUAAUUAUAAACAUUGGCUCAUGUUAUUUAAACAAAUUUGACACUUAAUAAUCCCGAACAACAAUAGGUGGAUGUAGGUGGAUCUAUUUGUUAUAUGAUGUUACAGAACAUACUUGUUCUUGAAACUAAUAUUCUACAGAAAACCUCAAAUAAACUUGACACUGUAUCAUUUGA
Long non-coding RNA from Triplophysa rosa, 588 nucleotides. RefSeq lists it as uncharacterized. The record is from RefSeq and is a predicted model, not a curated record. The transcript has 3 exons. NCBI's taxonomy places the organism in Eukaryota, Metazoa, Chordata, Actinopteri, Cypriniformes, Nemacheilidae.